This 2015-nucleotide long non-coding RNA is filed under the name Homo sapiens (human). Its description in RNAcentral is "non-protein coding lnc-ITGA11-3:1". Lineage: Eukaryota; Metazoa; Chordata; Mammalia; Primates; Hominidae. The record is from RNAcentral.
UGGCCAGAUGAGCUUGGUUUCUGUUUAGUUGUGCUGCUGGCUUUGCCUUCUCCCUAGGUCUAGACUCUUAGGCUCAUCUCUAAAGAAUAUUGUAUUUUAAAAAUAAAGUCUUAGUAAAACAGGUUCCCCUAGAACAGGGCAGUAAGUUGUAUUGGCUAAUAGCUGUUACAUCUUCCUCUUCCUGUCACAGGAGUGCUGCAUGUGAGGUUUGGGGGGGUGGGGAUGGGGGAGGGUUGUGGAUUUUGUUUUUUGUUUUUUGUUUUUUAAAUAAUCUCACUGACCAUCUGCAUAUUUCCAGCUUUCAGUAAAGGAGAGCUUAUACAUGCAAAAAAAAACCAGAACCUUAGCAAACAGACUGAUGAGGGAACUCUUUGGUGACAUUUUAAAAGAAUGUUUCCCUUGACAAAAAAGAAGUCUGUCACCAAGUUCUUUUAAACUUCAGGAACCAGGUUUAACAAGCAGAGAUUCAACUUGCAUAUACUUUCAGGAGCAGAGGAAAGCAAGGGCCCUGUGUUGAGAAAGAAAGUCAUACACCUUGCUGAAUCUCAAGCCGGUUGGGAAUGAUGUCCUCAGGGGGUCUUGAAUUUAUCUUCCCCAACCCUUCCAGGUGGUCCAAGUUUGCAAGCUAGGGAAGGGGCUGGGUCAGGUGACGUUGAACUUGCCCACAGAAUCUGGAUUUGCUUAAACUGGGGUCUUCUCUUGAAGCCAAAACUAGAUUGAGGACAGAUGCAAGAAAGGAUGGCCUACUUUGCACGUCAGGGAGUCUGCUCGGGAACUUGUUCUCCUCAGAGAAUGUGCAGACUGGAGAGCUGCCUGCCUUACAGGGACUUCAGAUCAGAGUUCUUAACCUGGGUCCUGGAAUCCAUAACCCCCUGAAACUGCUUGCAAAUAUUAUAAAUGAUACGGACAUUUUCUGGAGAAGGAGUUCAAAGCUUUCUGCAGAUUUCCCAAUGAGUCCUUGAUCUGAAAUAAAUUAAGAACCUCUGCUUUACAUUCCUCCCGAGAUGUCAAGUCUUGGUGGGGGCUCUGAGAGGCUGGGGGUGACCCCGGCCUUUUUGUGCUCUGUGUGGCUUCCUCAGCAUGUCCCAAGGCAGGGCAUUUCUAAUGUUCUGGUGUCUGUCCUUUCUCCUAGGAGGAUGAAGAAGGUUAUAACGAUGGAGAGGUAGAUGACGAGGAAGAUGAAGAAGAGCUUGGUGAAGAAGAAAGGGGUCAGAAGCGAAAACGAGAACCUGAAGAUGAGGGAGAAGAUGAUGACUAAGUGGAAUAACCUAUUUUGAAAAAUUCCUAUUGUGAUUUGACUGUUUUUACCCAUAUCCCCUCUCCCCCCCCCCUCCAAUCCUGCCCCCUGAAACUUAUUUUUUUCUGAUUGUAACGUUGCUGUGGGAACGAGAGGGGAAGAGUGUACUGGGGGUUGCGGGGGGAGGGAUGGCGGGUGGGGGUGGAAUAAAAUACUAUUUUUACUGCCACUCUUUAUUUUUUUCCCCUACUUUUUCUUUGUGUCCGGUUUUUGUCCCUGUAAAUGCGAUAGCUAAGUACACACUAAGUGAGCAUUUGUUCCUGACUCUCAAAGAGGAUGGUUUGGAGUUCUCUUACGUUUCCUGGUAUUUCCCAAGUCUCUUGGGUUGGUUGGAAGGCUGUGGCUGGUCUCAGUUUGGUUACUCAAUGCCCAGGAGGGGCUGAGCACCAGCCAUAUCUUUUGCUUUGGUUCACAUGAUGAUACCUGCUUUUCUCAGGCCUGCUAGAGGCAUCCAACGCCCUGGUUUGUAAAUAGCAACCUAAAGGCGUAUUUUGGCACUGGUCUGGGGACAUUCCCCAUCUCUCAUCCCUUUUCCCCCUUCACAGAUGGUGGUGGGCUUCGCUCUACAAAGAGGACUCUGAUGUUACUCUUGAGCUUAUGAGCCAGAGAGCUGAAAACCGCAGGCUUGUUGUGUUAAGUUACAAGGAAAAUGGAUUUGGUAAUUAAAAUUAGAAGAAACACACCUUCAAACUUCAACUUCUUUAAAAGAAAAAAAAAA